RNAcentral lists this ribosomal RNA (488 nucleotides) under uncultured bacterium. Its description in RNAcentral is "partial 16S ribosomal RNA". It matches the Rfam family "Bacterial small subunit ribosomal RNA", at positions 28 to 507 of the family's 1533-position model. The record is from RNAcentral.
AUCGAACGCUGGCGGCGGGCUUAACACAUGCAAGUCGAACGGAAAGGCCCUACUUUUGUGGGGUGCUCGAAUGGCGAACGGGUGAGUAACACGUGAGUAACCUGCCCUUUACUUUGGGGUGACUUCAGGAAACUGGGGCUAAUAACGGAUAGGAACUUCUGCUGCCUGGUGGGGGUUGGAAAGUUUCGGCGGUUGGGGAUGGAUUCGCGCGGUAUCAGCUUGUUGGUGGGGUAAUGGCUUACCAAGGGUUUGACGGGUAGACGAACUGAGUGGGUGAGAGCCGACCUUGGAGGGUGACCACCGACAAUGGUACUGCGGGACGCACCAGUCGGCAACGUUACGCAGCGGUGGGAAGUAUGGCGCAGUGGGCGCACGCCUGUUGCGGCGACGCCGCGUGCGUGAAGAAGGCUUUCGGGUGGUAAACCGCUUUCGCCUGUGACGAAGCGUGAGUGACGGUAAUGGGUAAAGAAGCACCGGCUAACUACGUG